AUUAAAGAGUUCUAUAACUCCCAAACCCAUGUGAACAUACCUAACGUUGCCUCGGCAGGUCGCACCUACCUUGUAGCACCCUACCCUGUAGGGCCUACCCGGGAGGUGCGGGUAAGCCUGCCGGCGGCCCACCAAACUCUGUUUGAUAUUGAAUUCUGAACCUAUAACUAAAUAAGUUAAAACUUUCAACAACGGAUCUCUUGGUUCUGGCAUCGAUGAAGAACGCAGCGAAAUGCGAUAAGUAAUGUGAAUUGCAGAAUUCAGUGAAUCAUCGAAUCUUUGAACGCAUAUUGCGCCCAUUAGUAUUCUAGUGGGCAGGACCGUUCGAGCGUCAUUUCAACCCUUAAGCCUUCGUUGCUUAGUGUUGGGAGCCUACGGCAACGUAGCUCCUCAAAGUUAGUGGCGGAGUUGGUUCACACUCUAGACGUAGUAAUUUUUUAUCUCGCCUAUUAGUUGGACUAAUCCCCUGCCGUAAAACCCCUAAUUUAUCAAGGUUGACCUCGAAUCGGUUCAGACAAAC
This 520-nucleotide ribosomal RNA is filed under the name fungal endophyte. RNAcentral's name for it is "eukaryotic LSU rRNA". The stretch from base 181 to 334 matches the Rfam family "5.8S ribosomal RNA". The record is from RNAcentral. Lineage: Eukaryota; Fungi.